This 294-nucleotide long non-coding RNA is filed under the name Aquila chrysaetos chrysaetos. RNAcentral describes it as "lncRNA (ENSACCG00020011639.1)". Lineage: Eukaryota; Metazoa; Chordata; Aves; Accipitriformes; Accipitridae. The record is from RNAcentral.
AAGUGCUCCUCCAUUAACAUUUCUUUUUGGUUUUUCAGCACCUGCUUCGGCAUCUAAUCAUAAAGCAGCUUCAGGCACCAAACCAAAAGUAGCACUGGAUCCCCAUAUCCGGCUCAAGGAUGGGAAAUUGGAACUGGUUCUGCAGUAUCUUGGUCUGGAUGUGAGCGAGGAGAAGAAGAGGCAGUUACGGCAAAGCUUGACCACAGACUCGCAGGGGACAGUGGCCUAUGGAGGUGAGCGGGCAGCUCUGCACAUGACCGGCUUUUUAAUUUUUGUGUAGCUUUGCUGGAGGCU